Molecule: ribosomal RNA, 593 nt
Filed under: uncultured bacterium
Lineage: Bacteria
Description: bacterial SSU rRNA
Rfam family: Bacterial small subunit ribosomal RNA
Source: RNAcentral
GGCGUGCUAAUACAUGCAAGUCGAGCGGACCCUUCGGGGUUAGCGGCGGACGGGUGAGUAACACGUAGGCAACCUGCCUGUAAGACUGGGAUAACUACCGGAAACGGUAGCUAAGACCGGAUAAGUGAUUCCCUUGCAUGAGAGGAUCAAGAAACACGGGGCAACCUGUGGCUUACAGAUGGGCCUGCGGCGCAUUAGCUAGUUGGUGGGGUAACGGCUCACCAAGGCGACGAUGCGUAGCCGACCUGAGAGGGUGAUCGGCCACACUGGGACUGAGACACGGCCCAGACUCCUACGGGAGGCAGCAGUAGGGAAUCUUCCGCAAUGGACGCAAGUCUGACGGAGCAACGCCGCGUGAGUGAUGAAGGUUUUCGGAUCGUAAAGCUCUGUUGCCAGGGAAGAACGUCGCGGAGAGUAACUGCUCUGCGAAUGACGGUACCUGAGAAGAAAGCCCCGGCUAACUACGUGCCAGCAGCCGCGGUAAUACGUAGGGGGCAAGCGUUGUCCGGAAUUAUUGGGCGUAAAGCGCGCGCAGGCGGCCGCUUAAGUCUGGUGUUUAAGCCCGAGGCUCAAACUCGGUUCGCACUGGAAAC